AUUUGUGAUGAUAGUAAUGUCGCCCCAGUCUGAUGUAUAUAUACUCUGACUGACUGACUUAAUAUACCUGAGAU
Small nucleolar RNA from Actinia tenebrosa (Australian red waratah sea anemone), 74 nucleotides. RefSeq annotates it as small nucleolar RNA U31b. Lineage: Eukaryota; Metazoa; Cnidaria; Anthozoa; Actiniaria; Actiniidae. The record is from RefSeq and is a predicted model, not a curated record.